This 253-nucleotide ribosomal RNA is filed under the name uncultured bacterium. RNAcentral describes it as "partial 16S ribosomal RNA". It matches the Rfam family "Bacterial small subunit ribosomal RNA", at positions 524 to 776 of the family's 1533-position model. The record is from RNAcentral.
UACGUAGGGACCGAGCGUUGUCCGGAUUCAUUGGGCGUAAAGAGCUCGUAGGCGGCUGUUCAAGUCGAACGUGAAAACUCGGAGCUCAACUCCGAGCCUGCGUUCGAUACUGGACGGCUAGAGUCUGGUAGGGGGAUCUGGAAUUCCUGGUGUAGCGGUGGAAUGCGUAGAUAUCGGGAAGAACACCGGAGGCGAAGGCGGCUCACUGGGCCGGAUCCGACACUGAGGCGCGAAAGCGUGGGGAGCAAACAGG